UUUUCUAUACUACUUGAACGACCCUUGCUCUUGCAGUACUCUACAUCGUGAUCAUAUGGGUCAGCCUCAAGCAAAUAUCAAGGCCUAAAUAAGUGAGGUUGGCCAAUGUUCAAAAACAUUGGCACGACUUGGGCGUAGCUUGAACCUGGCCCACCUUUCAAACACAUCAAAUAGCCCCAUUUUCUUAUUAUUUUAUUCCUCCAUUAAACAUUUUCAUGUUUAUCACCUUGCUCACUUAUUUUUAGUCCAAACUCAAAGUGUUAUUUUGAAAUGAUUAUUAGCUUAACAUUGGAUAUACUAAUUUGCUAAAGAAAGGAAAAAAUUUUAUUAUAAUUUUUUUUUUAAAAGGAUGUUUUCCCUCAACUAAUAUUUUAGAAAGACUAGUUUAAAAAAUACAAACUAAAAGAAAUUUGCAGCGUUCCCAUGCAAGCAAUGGAAAAUCUUCCAAAGGAACCCUCCACCUUAAGCAAAAAGGAUUAGAUAAAAGAGAAAUCAUUCUGUAGGAGGAAGAACAAAAGAACUACCUGUCUGUCUAUCCGCACUGGCAAUAGCAGGGGGCAUUCCAGAACUAGUUCCAAUUCCGGGGCCAAGGGCACGAGCUGGAGGAUUAGCCAGCUGUGAUUGCUGAUACUUCAAUAUUGUCCAGUCAAAAACAUAGUCAAAC
Molecule: unclassified non-coding RNA, 664 nt
Filed under: Hevea brasiliensis (rubber tree)
Lineage: Eukaryota; Viridiplantae; Streptophyta; Magnoliopsida; Malpighiales; Euphorbiaceae
Source: RNAcentral